Molecule: small nuclear RNA, 104 nt
Filed under: Octodon degus (degu)
Lineage: Eukaryota; Metazoa; Chordata; Mammalia; Rodentia; Octodontidae
Source: RNAcentral
GUGCUCGCUUUGGCAGCACAUAUACUAAAAUUGGAAUGAUACAGAGAUUAGCAUGGCACCUGCGCAAGGAUGACACGCAAAUUCGUGAAGGUUUCAUAUUUUUU